This 467-nucleotide ribosomal RNA is filed under the name uncultured bacterium. Its description in RNAcentral is "bacterial SSU rRNA". It matches the Rfam family "Bacterial small subunit ribosomal RNA", at positions 329 to 792 of the family's 1533-position model. The record is from RNAcentral.
UCCCAGACUCCUACGGGAGGCAGCAGUGAGGAAUAUUGGUCAAUGGGCGCGAGCCUGAACCAGCCAAGUCGCGUGAGAGAUGACGGCCCUACGGGUUGUAAACCUCUUUUGUCGGGGAGCAAAUUCCGCCACGCGUGGCGGAGUCGAGAGUACCCGAAGAAAAAGCAUCGGCUAACUCCGUGCCAGCAGCCGCGGUAAUACGGAGGAUGCGAGCGUUAUCCGGAUUUAUUGGGUUUAAAGGGAGCGUAGAUGGGUUGUUAAGUCAGUUGUGAAAGUUUGCGGCUCAACCGUAAAAUUGCAAUUGAUACUGGCAGCCUUGAGUACAGUUGAGGUAGGCGGAAUUCGUGGUGUAGCGGUGAAAUGCUUAGAUAUCACGAAGAACUCCGAUUGCGAAGGCAGCUUACUAAACUGCCACUGACAUUGAUGCUCGAAAGUGUGGGUAUCAAACAGGAUUAGAUACCCUAGUA